AUAUUAUUCUCUUACAGGAUAUUUUUUUGCAUCAUCUUCUUUCUCUGUGCUUGGACUGAAGGGGAGUUCCUUCUUUCUGUUGCCUCCAUUAUUGUUAUGUUGGUAAAUGGGCCAAUGCAACAAAUGAGCUGACCAAGGGAACUCCUUAUACAUAUCGGUUUCGUGUCCGCAAAGGAAAUUUAAAAAUGAAUGACAUAAUACUUGGCGAAGUGAGUUCUUACUGCCAUUUCUAGAUUCAAUAAUGGGCAUAUGCUUUAAUUAAACCACUGUUCAUUCUUCGAAGAUGAUUUAUUUUAAUAUUUUUUUGUUUCCUACGGUAUCUCUCAAUUCGACUGGCCAAGGACUAAUCCGUUGCAAUACUGAACUCCAUUUAAGGGUUUGCUAUUGGCCAAUGGGUUGCUGCAUGCACAAGGCGGAAUUCGAACUCCCGACACUUGCUUAAGCGGACUAGUGAGCUAACCACUAGACCACCCAACUUAAUUUACACAUCUCUUAUUUAUAUAUGAUCUUUGCUGCAAUAAUUUGUUGAUUCUAGGGCAUUGAAAUGUAUGUCUUGGGAAACUGGGCAGAAGUUGCUGAGCAUGUUGCGACAAACAUUAUAUAGAUCACUGUUUAUGAUAUAUUAACUUUGGAAAUAGAUUCUCUCGAUUGUUAAAAAAAAUUGAAAGUAUAUAUAAAGCUUGAUCCUUAUCUCAAUUUUCUACCACAGUUAAAGAAGCAACUUGUACAUUUAUGUUGGAAUCUUAAAACAAGACACAAAUUGUUCACCAAAAUUCUACUAACUUGCAAAUUAAAAACUACAACUAAGUCUUGAUUAGAAAAAUGUUUGUUUAUGAAAUAUAAUAUAAUUAAACUUGGAUGGUUAGCUUGCUAUUAUUAUAGCUACUUCAUUGUUUAGUUUUGGAACCAAUCCAAGAGAAUUUUCUUUUUUUACUUCUUAGCUUCUUUUCUAUCUUUUUCAGGAAACAAGGAGAAGAUAGUGUUGACAAAGAGAACUAGUUGAAGUGAAACCAGAUAUAUGUGGUGCAGCAACUUCAAGUUUUCAAAAUCAAAAGAUCAAUGUAGAUUUACAGGUUUAGUGUUGUAAGAUAUGAGUAGUAAAUAUACCAUGAAUUAUGAAUUUGGAUUGUGAAUUGUAAGCCAUCAAUGUAUAUUUAGAUUGUGAAUUAUAAAAUUUGAUAUAUUUAUGAAUUUGUCUCUUUUAA
Arachis stenosperma is the source of this 1205-nucleotide RNA transcript. It is a transcript of the gene named glutamate--tRNA ligase, chloroplastic/mitochondrial-like, with no coding region annotated. The record is from RefSeq and is a predicted model, not a curated record. Lineage: Eukaryota; Viridiplantae; Streptophyta; Magnoliopsida; Fabales; Fabaceae. The transcript is spliced from 2 exons.